AGUGAACGCUGGCGGUAGGCCUAACACAUGCAAGUCGAACGGCAGCACAGUAAGAGCUUGCUCUUACGGGUGGCGAGUGGCGGACGGGUGAGGAAUACAUCGGAAUCUACUUUUUCGUGGGGAUAACGUAGGGAAACUUACGCUAAUACCGCAUACGACUUACGGGUGAAAGCAGGGGAUCUUCGGACCUUGCGCGAUUGAAUGAGCCGAUGUCGGAUUAGCUAGUUGGCGGGGUAAAGGCCCACCAAGGCGACGAUCCGUAGCUGGUCUGAGAGGAUGAUCAGCCACACUGGAACUGAGACACGGUCCAGACUCCUACGGGAGGCAGCAGUGGGGAAUAUUGGACAAUGGGCGCAAGCCUGAUCCAGCCAUACCGCGUGGGUGAAGAAGGCCUUCGGGUUGUAAAGCCCUUUUGUUGGGAAAGAAAAGCAGCAGGUUAAUACCCCGCUGUUCUGACGGUACCCAAAGAAUAAGCACCGGCUAACUUCGUG
RNAcentral lists this ribosomal RNA (491 nucleotides) under uncultured bacterium. RNAcentral describes it as "partial 16S ribosomal RNA". It matches the Rfam family "Bacterial small subunit ribosomal RNA", at positions 29 to 507 of the family's 1533-position model. The record is from RNAcentral.